Brachypodium distachyon (stiff brome) is the source of this 4776-nucleotide RNA transcript. RefSeq lists it as uncharacterized. The record is from RefSeq and is a predicted model, not a curated record. Lineage: Eukaryota; Viridiplantae; Streptophyta; Magnoliopsida; Poales; Poaceae. The transcript has 4 exons.
CGCUGGAAGCCCAAUAGGCAAUUGUGCAAUUUUGUGCAGGCCGCAGCCCAACAUCGCUCGUCCUGGCCCUCCGGCAGCCACGUCUCUUCCAGACCAGUUCCAGCCUUCCUCGCAUAGUCGCAUCUCUUCCUUUUCUCAAAAAAAAAAACAAAAACAAUUCGCAUCUCGUCCUCGCAUUUCUCGUCCCUUCCGCUGUUCCGCAGGGGCCGCCGCUCCUGCUGCCCCGAGCCGGCAGCCUUCACAUGCACAUCUCGUUCCCGAUCUCGGCGUGCCCGCCGUCGGCCGCUGAUUUCGCCCCUGGCUCCGCGCAUCUCGCCGGCAGCCUCGGACCGAGCAGGAUCGUCGACGCCGACCUCGGCUCGUGUCCACUCUGGGCCUACCCCUCCCCAGCCUGUAGACACAGCCGCAUCUAUCAGUCAACUCUACUCGCUGGACCAAUCCUUUAUAAGGCUUCAAUUUCGGGAGGCUCCCGGAGCAGCUGGUUCGAUCUACUCCAGCGCCAGACUCAGCUUCAACCACUGAUGGUGACUAAAAUGUGCGCCUUGCCAUGGUGUUGUUUCUAUCUCUAAUCUUUAUUUCUGGAGUGGUGGCAUUUAUUUCUCUGCUUAGUUUGCAAACUUUCCUUCAUUAGUUUUUCGAUAAAACUCGGCAACAAUGUUUCCCCUUUGCCGGACUAACCGCCAGGAUGCUGUUACCGGUCUGAACACUGUCAUGUUUCCUUCAAAAUAUAUGUUCUAGGAGAGCAUGAGUUCAAUGAUUUAUGCUGCCACUUCAGGAGAUUAUCCAAAAAAUCUAUGACUUAGUGAUGAUAGAUGUGUCUGAUUUGCAAAUUUUGCUGCAUACUCAAGUUGUAUCAAAAGACUACUUGCAUUUCUCUUAAGGUUAAAAUACUCUUCACAGCAAGAAUUUAGAAUACCGUUUAUUUCAUUCUUGUGCUAUGCCAGCUCAUUUAUGGGCAUCUUCAUUGAAUUUAGACAAAUAUUAACUUUACCCAUAUUUUGAAUUGAACGAUUAAUGCUAUCGCAUUAGAAAGCUUUUCAUGUAUAGACACAAUGGAAGAUGAUUAUUGAUCAGAAAUUAUCCACUGUAACAUUGUGGUCCCUUUUCUGUAUAUUGUUGGUGCAAGGAAAGGUACCCAGGUUGCUAAUAUUUUGAGAGGGUGUGGGUUAUUUGCAAUCUUUCUGAAGUUUUUAGGAAGUUCAGAUCAUUCGAUUCCUUCCAAAAAAAGAAAGAUCAGUUAGGAUUGGUAUGCGUACACAUGACUCCACUUGGGCAAAAACAGGGACGUUAAGCAAUAAACUGAUAACAAAAUUCUUAAGAUGGCGGUAUGAGGCAGAGGCAUUGCUCGACACAAAACACAAACGUCAGGGUUGAUGUACUAGUCAUGGUUGGUACUAGUAGAUAAUAACAAUACAUUUUAAGAAAGGCGACGAAAGCAUUUUUCAGGGUGCCGGCUAGAGGUGAAGCUGGAUUCUUCAUGUUUCCCUAUGAAUGUCUAUGAUUUUCAAAUGGUAUCCUGUCUCAUCUUUGAUACCGAACAUAAAAUAAUUAUUCAGUUCUUCAUUUUGUUGUGUAAAAUCAUAUCUACUCUUUUGUGUAAACCAGUGGGUUUUGUUCCAUCCGGGAUAUUGAACUAAUUUGAUUUAUCGUGCAUCUACUAAAUGCAAAUAAUACUUUUGAUGGGAGACUACCUCCAAAUCAGCUAAUAAUCGCAGCACGUUAGGAUAAAAUACAAGGUACCAUCGAAUUCAACAGGAAGGUUAUUCUGCAUGUCCCAGACAGGUUUGGGCGUCAUCAUUGCUUAAGGUGUGGAAGCAUUGAAAAAUCUGGUGGAGGACAUGAAAGAGAACAUAAUCGCGUGCUAGACCUUGAGGCAGAAGGGGUAGCAAUGUGGCAGCCGCGACGGGAUGCUAAAGACAGAUGCCUCAGGUGAAGUAAUCUCAGCGGAUCUUGCACAAAGUGCACAUGGUGAUGGAGGCAAAGCCGAGUUUGGCCCGUGAUCUCAGCGGAUCUCGCACAAAGUGCAAAUCCCAACAAAAGAAAGUGGUUUGUUGGAUCUAGAUAGAAAGGCCAAGAAAAUUGGUUGGAAAGGAAAAACUGUCAGGUUGUUCCGUUGUUUAUCUAUGCCACCAAAAUGAGAAACUGGCAGAAAGUACAAUCUAUAAUAAUAACGAGAGGAUACUCUCUAAGCAACCUAUAACGCACGUGACCGUUUUCUUCUUUCCAGUCAAUUGUGUACCUCAAGUUUGAUAACAAAGAGGAGGGUUCCAAUUUUGGUAGCAUCUAAAAAACUUCGGAACAACCUAUUAUGCACGUGUGUCAAUUUUGUUCACCUUUGCAUCUAGAUCCAACAACCCUCCAAUUUCCUUUACCCUCGACCAAUCUUCCUCAUCUCCCCCAAGUAUAACCUUGCAUCUUCCAGCGCCUUCGGGAAGAAGACCUUCAAUCUAAACAGCCCCUCCCUGGGCCCUAACAUCCGAGAGGUUUUCUUCCUUGGUAUGCUCUCCUCUCUCCAUCAUUCAGGAUCUGCAUGUUGCCGGUCGCCGCGACUUGGGCCAGAGUCGCAUUUGCCACUACCACCAUGCGCGCAUUGUCCGUGGAUCCGCAUGAGAUCCCUACAUCCAAGACUUUUUUCCUUGGCGUCCCAUCACGGAUGACAUUGUUACCCCUCAAGGUCUGGCACUCAAUUAUAUAUGUUUUAAGAAAAAAUUGAUAAGAGAAAAUAAAUUGGAAACCCGUUCAAGGCCUCUAUUAUCCAAAGAAUUUUUGGAGGAUUCUAGUCCUUUGAAUUUUUCCUAAGUCCAUCGUUUGAUUCAUAGGAUUGCAAACCAUCGUUUAGUUCGUGUGCACUAGAUUUCAUAGAAAAAUUUACAUCCAUUCCAACCUCUUGAAAGAAUCCAACGUUUUUCUUGUGCACAACCAAACCUUGAUCCUGCAUUCUUUCUUUUCCUACGUUUCAACAAUCCAGCGAAUGAAAAGCCCCCCUCAAAGGCCGGAACGAUCUGCUUAGCCCAUAUAUUGAGGUGUUUCCAGGCUUGUCAAUUUAGCCACCAUAAUAGUCUUUCGUCUGCCCUGUAGCUUCUAGCUGCCAGAGCUGUUAUUUGCGUUCACUUUGUGGUUCUGGAUAUUCUUAAAAUCAAUGGGGACUCUUCUCCUUUUUUUUCGCUUGGUCCUCUCAUGUUUCUCCUCUCCUGCAUGGAGAUCCUCCCUGUUCGACAGAAUGGGCAAGGGUGUAACAACAAGAGAGGAGCUGAGUAGAGUGGCAAGGACUGCAUCAACACCCUUCCCAAUGAGCUCGAGCAGCAAGUGCUCUCCUUGUUGCCCCCAAAUUAAAUGGGGUUGUGUGGAACUGUGUGUUGUCCCGCCGGUGGCACCACCUCUGGAGGUCCACGACCAGCCUUCUCCUCUGUUAUGCCGGACCCGGGACAUGAUUGAAGAGCCCUCAAAAAUACAACAAGUUCCUCAACCAUCUGAUUUUCCAUCACGAACUGUCACCCCUUGUCCACUGCCAAAUCAGUCCUUAUCCAGAUGCCGCCCGUCACGCAUAUCCAUACAUAGAAAUGUGGAUUUAGUAAGCUCCAAUGCGCUAGGUUCAGGUGCUUGAAAUCAAAGUCUACAACGGUAUUGGUGACAGAAUAAAAGUAGAUACUCAUUUUGUUGAUUUCUUUGCGGAUACGCCCGAUUUGCGUCUACUAAAAGAUGUAAAUUUGGAAGAAUGUGGCAUUUGGACAUAGGACAUGUUAUCCAAAUUGCUAUAACAUUUGAGCAUUUCUAUAUGUCACGUAGAUGAUGAGAUUCGGGAUUUGAUUCCUGCACCAUGAUAUGUCUUUACUACAUGCACUUCUAUCUGAUGAGUUUCAAGGCAGGACUCGUUUUCUUGAAAACAUGCCAUUGCUAGAAACAACUUACGUCAGGAUAGACAUCAACAGUUAAGACCAUGGAGAUUGUACAGACGAAAGCUGCGUUGGUUGUCCUGUUGGCGAUUAUCAGAGUGUGCUUCUCAGUGGCUUGUCGAAUGCUAUCCAUCUGGAGUUGAUAUCUCAUCCUAAAAUUGUUAUCAUAUUUACUAUUGUUUCCACUCCUAUCAUUGUUUGCUAUUUCAUUGGUUAAUUUUGUUUGUUGUUUGUAUCACCUAAACACAUACUUUAUUAAGUUUAGGGAUUAUAAUGAUAAAGCAUUCUUAAAAUGUGGUUUGUACUUUUCAAACUUCUGAACGUCGUGUAAUUUGGGAAUGUAGGAUUGAUCAGUUACUAUUAAUUUCAUUAUAGCUUCAGAGUUGAGCACUUUGCUUGCAUGGUCAGUACGUCUAGAUGCAAAGGAACUUAACCAUGCACCAUGAGUUAUGAACAGUUGUUGUUGCUGUUUUUUACUAAAUACUCCCUCUGAUCCUAAAUUCUUGACUCAAAUUUGCCCAAAUAUGGAUGUAUCUAUUCUUAAAAAACAUCUAGAUACAUGUAAUAUUUCGACAACAAUUUAGGAUCCGAGGGAGUAGAAACCUACACUUUAAGACACUGAACUAUUCAUGUGUACUUUGUGCUAUCAAGCCAUUAUUAUUUGUAUUUGAGUUUGCAAUGAUCCGUUUUCUGUUUUUCUGAUAUCCUGAGCCAUGCUAUACAAUGUCUUCCCAUAUACAAGUGGCAUAAACUAUCAUUUGAUGAACUUUCUGGUUACCAUAGAAUCUAUAAGUUACUGAUAUUUGUUUUAGUUUUUCUGAUUAUAUGUUUGUCAACUUAAUUCAGCUAGACAAUAGCUAGUCUGCGAGUUUUUUAAAUUCUU